NNCCCGUUGGUCAAGUGGUUAAGACACCGCCCUUUCACGGCGGUAACACGGGUUCGAAUCCCGUACGGGUCACCA
This 75-nucleotide transfer RNA is filed under the name Streptococcus pneumoniae. RNAcentral describes it as "tRNA-Glu(ttc)". It matches the Rfam family "tRNA". Rfam says of the family: Transfer RNA (tRNA) molecules are approximately 80 nucleotides in length. The record is from RNAcentral. Lineage: Bacteria; Bacillati; Bacillota; Bacilli; Lactobacillales; Streptococcaceae.